RNAcentral lists this transfer RNA (61 nucleotides) under Timspurckia oligopyrenoides. RNAcentral's name for it is "partial Selenocysteine transfer RNA". Lineage: Eukaryota; Rhodophyta; Bangiophyceae; Porphyridiales; Porphyridiaceae. The record is from RNAcentral.
CCGCUGGUGUGGGUUAAAGGGCUUCAAACCCUUUGCAGCCGAGAGGCUGAGUCGUUCGAUU